GACGAACGCUGGCGGCGUGCCUAACACAUGCAAGUCAACGGGGUAAGUUUCUUCGGAGAUUACUUAGUGGCGAACGGGUGAGUAACGCGUGAGAAACCUGCCUCUCAGUGGGGGACGAACAGUUGGAAACGACUGCUAAUACCGCAUAACAUAUUCGAAGGGCAUCCUUUGAAUAUCAAAGCUUUAUGUGCUGAGAGAUGGUCUCGCGUCUGAUUAGCUAGAUGGCGGGGUAACGGCCCACCAAGUCGACGAUCGGUAGCCGGACUGAGAGGUUGAUCGGCCACAUUGGGACUGAGACACGGCCCAGACUCCUACGGGAGGCAGCAGUGGGGGAUAUUGCACAAUGGGCGAAAGCCUGAUGCAGCAACGCCGCGUGAGGGAAGAAGGUCUUCGGAUUGUAAACCUUUGUCCUAAGUGAAGAAACAAAUGACGGUAGCUUAGGAGGAAGCCACGGCUAACUACGUG
This 465-nucleotide ribosomal RNA is filed under the name uncultured bacterium. RNAcentral describes it as "bacterial SSU rRNA". It matches the Rfam family "Bacterial small subunit ribosomal RNA", at positions 28 to 507 of the family's 1533-position model. The record is from RNAcentral.